RNAcentral lists this ribosomal RNA (363 nucleotides) under Klebsiella pneumoniae. RNAcentral's name for it is "bacterial SSU rRNA". It matches the Rfam family "Bacterial small subunit ribosomal RNA", at positions 62 to 423 of the family's 1533-position model. Lineage: Bacteria; Pseudomonadati; Pseudomonadota; Gammaproteobacteria; Enterobacterales; Enterobacteriaceae. The record is from RNAcentral.
UCGAGCGGUAGCACAGAGAGCUUGCUCUCGGGUGACGAGCGGCGGACGGGUGAGUAAUGUCUGGGAAACUGCCUGAUGGAGGGGGAUAACUACUGGAAACGGUAGCUAAUACCGCAUAAUGUCGCAAGACCAAAGUGGGGGACCUUCGGGCCUCAUGCCAUCAGAUGUGCCCAGAUGGGAUUAGCUAGUAGGUGGGGUAACGGCUCACCUAGGCGACGAUCCCUAGCUGGUCUGAGAGGAUGACCAGCCACACUGGAACUGAGACACGGUCCAGACUCCUACGGGAGGCAGCAGUGGGGAAUAUUGCACAAUGGGCGCAAGCCUGAUGCAGCCAUGCCGCGUGUGUGAAGAAGGCCUUCGGGU